GAAGGACUAUAUCUCAGUGGUAGAUUAUUUGCAUUGCAAGCAGAAGGUGCCAGGUUUAAUCCCUGGCAUUUUCA
Molecule: non-coding RNA, 74 nt
Organism: Podarcis lilfordi (Lilford's wall lizard)
Lineage: Eukaryota; Metazoa; Chordata; Lepidosauria; Squamata; Lacertidae
Source: the annotation of a GenBank genome assembly